This 10006-nucleotide long non-coding RNA is filed under the name Gallus gallus (chicken). Lineage: Eukaryota; Metazoa; Chordata; Aves; Galliformes; Phasianidae. The record is from RNAcentral.
CCUCAGUCGCCUCCGAGGCGCUCCGAGCGGCCGCCGCCUCGGGCUGAAGGCCCGGGCUCCGCCAGCGGACGCGGCUCCCGCUCGGACUCCGGCUCAGCGCUCCCCUCCGCCGCCGCCGCAGCGCUACGUGGCCGCCCGCAGCCAGUCUCGCGACUCCGCCGCGCGCACGCGCGGGCACGCGCCGAGGAGGGCCUGUGUGAUCUGAGAGGGAGUGAUGCGACAAGACAUGGAUUUCACUGAUAGAACUCGCAGCUUGGGGCAGGUAUGGGGCUUGUGAAGGGCUGUGGGGUGGGAUCAGUGUCGGGGGGGGGGGGAACGGACGCUUAAGCAGCAGUCCUACCUUCCCCGGGAAGAGGCAGUGCCUCCUCCAUAGCCCUGAAAACCACUUCUGAGUGCUGUGUAGGAGGGAAGAGCACUGCUGUGGUUUAGGUUUGGCGGCAGCAAAAAGAUGAGCAAGAGUAGCAGAAACAGGAAAAGGGGGCAGGGCACAGCCUUUCUGGUGGUGUUAGCCGCAUCCCAGGACUUGAGGAAUUUUGUGCUGUGUAGCUUUGACUCCCUCCUGCCUGAUUUCAGACACGUAUCCCUUCCAUAGCCCCCUUUUAAAAUCAUUUAGUCCCUUCCUUUACCUGUGGUUUGUUAACUUGUUUGCUGUAGAUAGUCUCCAAAUGGUGUAGGAAUCUGAGUUUUUUGGGGGGGAAAAAAGAAGUUUUUUUGCCCACUGAAAUACUACCUGCUGGAAUAUUUGGCCUACUUUUUAUUACUGCACAUAAAACCCAGAUUUGAGCUCCCUGUGGAGAGCAGGGACUGGGGCUCUCAAAGUUCACAAUCAAAUAAAAGGGACAGCAUAUGCUUGGGAAGCACCAUGGUAAGAUCAGAACGCUGUUUAUAGAAUCAUAGAUUGGCUUGGGUUGGAAAGGACCUUAAAGAUUAUCUGGUUCCAACUGCUUGCCAGCUUUCUUCUUUGCCCCAGCAACUCCUGCUGUGUGGGCAUGGGAAAGGAGUAAAGCACAACAUACUUUGCUUAGGCCAGCCCUGUUAGAGGUAUUACUGGCAGACUCCGUUCAGAGCAGGCCCCAGGCUGUUCUCAUCUCUGUGGGGACUGUGUAUAGCUGGAGGGGAGAGGGUAGCUAGCAGAGACCCAGGUUUUGAGAGCAUGUUGUUGCCCCUGCUCAGCUCCGUGCCCUUGUGCAAUGCAGCUCUUCAAAGAAAAAAAUGAGAGAGGCCAUGUAAUUAAAUUUCAAACCUCGAAAAAGGCAGGAAGAAAAGCUCUGGAGACUUUUUUAUUGACACAUGAAUGAACAAGAAAGCAGUGGGUCAUAGAGGUGCUAUUUCAAAUGUGAAAUUCUGUCAGAGGGAUAACUGUGUCCACUGCUUGCCAGUGUCCCAUUUGGCUCCAAAGGAGAGCAGGUGAGGAGUAAAGCCACCAACUAUUUCCAUUUCUGUAUAAAUGCACAGCCACUGCUAAUAUCUGAUCAUGGGACAAGAGCAGGCAAGUGCCUUGGUGAGUUUUUUCUCCAGUGUGUGGGGAGAGCACUUAGUGUCCCAGUUUGUUUUGCUGUUCCCCUUCUUCUCUGAUGCUGUGUCUGUGGUUUUUUAGCCUGGCUUCCUUACCCUGAACCCGUAGCAUGAGGUCCCCUUACCUUAAAAUAGAUCCUGGAGGAUUGCAGUGGCUUUUCUUGUAAAAGAUGCUUUUUGUCUUCAGUUUCAGAUAGUGAUUUUCCUUCCCCCAAGUACAAGUUGUACAGAGGUUAAAAGGAAAUGUUAAGUCCCUCUUCCUCAGAAGACACCUAGGACUCUGCAGAGGAAGGGCUUAAAAAGAUAAGGGACCGAGUGCAAGUAUUCUUGGACUGUCAAACUUCCAACACGACAACAAAGCACUUAUCCUUUUCUCUCUGCUUUGUCACUUCUGCAUCUGCAUUGGGGAAGAGGCUGCUGCAGAGGAGACUGACUCUUCUAAGCCUUGCUGUGUGAUUUGGCUCCUGAAUGCCCAGGGCACCCUGCAGUUGCACACUUUCUUCCCUAGCUGUUUUAUUAAUGGAAGUUGACAUCCUCAUGCUGGCUCCCAGGGAGGGAUCCGUCUGAGUCAUUGGCUGUAACACAGCCCUUUUCCCACAAAGGGCUCCCUUCAGCUAUUUACAUCCCUCUCUUUGAUCUAACUUUUGACAUGAAAAGACAUGUCAGCCAGGUAGAGGGAAACAAACAAAAUGCAGGAACAGUCCCACAUCUCUGCUUGCACAUGAUCCGCUCCCUAGCACACGCCUGCCUUACAGCCACAGAUCCUUAUCAGCUCUCUGAUUUCCUUGCUAUCAUCUCUGUCUUCCCUUCGUCCUGUUGUUUAACUUCUAGAGGCAAAUAUGUGCAUCUUGUUCACUGCUCAGUAAGAUGCUGUGGCACAAUUGCCUACUCUCUCUGGUAUUUCCCUUCUAUCUAUAGUAUAACUAGUAUGGGAAAUGCCCUCACACAUCCUCCUCACUGCAUGCAGUGCCAGGAACAGGUGAUACAGAUCUUCAUUUCCUGCCUUAAACUGCUGCAGUAUUUUAGCAAGCAGCUGUGUGCAGCUCACUCCAUAAGUAGCAGCAAUGCAACUGUAGGUGAAUUCCUUUGUGGAAACCAGAUCUUUCAUUGCUAACUAGCUUAGGAUCUUUCAGAGUUUAAAAAUAAAAAUAAAAAAAAUAAGAAGACUAAAUAUUGUGCAAAUUCAAAUUAGAUGCACCAGAACACAGUAUCACCCACCUGUGUUUUUUUUCUAUAGGAAUGGGUGUUCUAGAAUUGCUGAGAAAGCAAAUCUAAUGGAUAAGGAUGUUGUUGAGAUGCAGCUAACUCUUUGGAGAGAUGACUGUUAGUGCCAGGUACAGAAUAAUGUGGGAAGGGGAAAAAUCAAACAGAGGUUAGUUCCUACCUUUAUCAGCAGUUAAUUUUCUUGUGGCGUGGGCCAGCUUGUUGGGUUUACACAGCUUGGUGCUUUUGGGCAAUGUCUGAGCUGAUUGGUCUGGUUAUUUUAUGUCUUCCAGGUAGUAAACCAGUGCUGGAGUGCUCUGGUAAGGGGGAUGUCUGCCAGGUCCAGGGCCUGCAGUCCCAUUUAAGCUGUGUUGCUGUGGAAUGUGGCUCCGUUGGUGAGGGUUCUCUACUUUACCCAAGCAGCGAUAGCUCUCUGCUUCACCUGGACUUGUGCUAUGAUGAUUUCUUGGGAAACUCUCAGCAGCCAGUGAAACAGCCCUCCUAGUGUUCUUUCUUCCUACAGCCAGCAGGGGAGGUGGGCUGCCUUCCUUCAGUCUUACUGUUACCACAGGUGAAUCUUCAUGGCUUGUGCUGUUUCAGGGCUGGGACCCAGCAUAGCAGGGUGCUGUUUUACUGAGGCCUCCACAUCGUAACAGUUCUGCUUUGGGAACAGCCUGUACUCAGUGUUGAGGGCCUGGUGAGAAUGCAGUUGCAAGUGGGACUCUUUCUCCUUCCCCAAAGGGGAAACGCCCUCGGGGUUAGAUGUUACUCAAGGAUGCUGCAGUGAGCAGGCCCUGAGUGAGAAGUGAAACUUAAGCAUGGACAGGAUCAUUGAUGUCUUGCUGCAACCCAGCCAGUUGCUUUUUGGACUAAUACUUUAGGUAUUGUGCUAUGUCUUGCAGGAUUCAGGAUCCUCUCAAGCAAUGGGAAAGGAAGCAAAAGGGAAACAAAGGGCUUUUCCUGCCAGCUCUUGUCACAGGAAGCCUUAUGCUUGGAAGGAACCACCCCCUUGAGUGUUGGGCUUUGAGACUGUAUCAGCACAGAAAAGAUCAGACAGAGGGAAUUCCUGUUCGCACUCCCCCUUCUCUUUUGCUAUCUUCGUGUAAGGCCACAAUUAAAGAUUAUCUGCUUCCAAAUAGCGUGGAGUUAACACCCACCAGCAUCUCUCUUCAUACCUUUGGUUAGACCUUGAGAGCAGCAGGAUGCAGGCAGAGUGGCCAUACAGAGAUUGAGUAAACUCCUGACUCCACACAGGACUACCUGAAAAUUAAACCAUAUGUCUAAGCUUGUUGUCCAGACGCUUCUUGAACUCAGGCAGGCUUGGUGCUGUGACUGCUACAUAAGCUUUAACACUUGUGAUGAAGUAAUUGUUAAGUGUGAGCAUUACCUUACCAGGCUAUGGAGACACUUAUGUUCUUUUGUUAAGAACACCUCUACUCUGAUCAGCAUCAACUUCCUACCAGAGCUAUAUGAGUACAGGUCCAUUAUAUGUUCCCUCGUGAGGAACACAAUGGCUAAACUGUGGUCCUUUCCACUCACAUCCAAUAUUCUAGCCCAGCCUCUUAUGUAAAAACACUUCUAUGUGUUUGAAAGUCACCCAUUAAGAGCCAUGUUUGAGAGGAAGCAAUUGCUUCAAUAGAGCAAUAUUUACUAGCUUUGCAGAAGGAGCACAGUGAGACUCACCCCAAUGAAAGUCAUGUUGUGUUAAUGUCUCUGGAGUGGGCUUACCUUGUUCAGGCUUAACCUUUGCUUCCUUCCUGUCCUUGCAUCUGCUGUGUAUUUUUAACCUACUGCUUCAGAGGCAUCCUGCACACAUUCUUCCCUAGCCGCCUCCUGCCCUUCCUGCCUCACUUCAUCUACCAGCUUGGGGGACAGGAGCAUGCCUUGCAGCUGGCAUCUCACACUGUUCACUUUCUGCACUGCCCUCCAGCAGCCAGGAUGCACUAUCCCAGGCUUAGGCACAGUUAUGGCCUGUCAGAGAUCAGGGAUAACUCACUGCUGGUUUCUGAUGCGGUCCAGAUCAGCAUUGUAUGCAGAUCUAGCGUAGGGAAUCUCAAAUGCUGUUUUCACAGCAGCAAUAGGGUUAAGCCUCAGAAGGGAUCCUCUGCUCCCUGUGCUGCCUAGUGUCAUGCAAGGAAUAAUUAAAGCAGCUGAGCUCCAGCCUGGCGUAGGCAAUUAUUGACUUCCUACCUACUUCCACAAGUGCUUCCCCCCAUUCUCUGCAUUUUGGGACAGGCUUUUUCUACUUGAUCCACAGUACAAAAGAAGCAAUAAGGAAACUCCUCCCUAUUCCUUAUUCUAACCACUUCAGAUGCUGCCAGUUUGCUGCAGGGUACAAAUUAUCAUAAACUCAGGGAACUCCCUUACCUAGAGAGGUUUCAGCAGUUUUGGUAUAUUAGCAACUAUUGGGGUAGAUGCCCAUUCCUCUUCAACAACCAUUCUGCAAAGUACAGCUGCUCCAGAGCACCUGUCCGUGUGGUUUCUUUUGCUCCCUUCUCAACUCAGGUAGGCUGGUUAUCUUUUAAAUAGGAAGAGAGAGGGUGAACACAGAGGAAAUCAAACAGUUUCCUGUUUGUUUAUCACGAACAAAAGCUUGUUUGGCUGGUCUGUGUGUUGCUAGCGGGCUAGCCCAGCUGCUGCGGUUAGUGCAAAGCUGAGUUCUUCCACUAGCAUGAAAGGAAGAAGUAGUAAAGCCGAGUCUCCAGGGGGAAGGGAGAGAAGAAUCUCCCCCCACACACUUCUUUGGAAGUUUGAAGACAAGGCAGAACAGAGUGGGCUGGGAGAUUUCACCAUGGAUUGUAAGGCUUUGAUGUGUGAAGGUAGCAACCAAAUGCUACAACAGGAGGUUGCAUUCCUCCUCCUACUAGGCCCUGCAACAACCCCAGCAGGUCUCUCAUAUUGCUCACAAACAGCAGACCUUACCCAAAGCUAUCAGUCCCCAUAGAUUAGUUUUUGGGCUGCUUUCAGAUCAUUAUCAGUGAUGAGUCUGUGCUGCCAUUACUGUAAUUGCUAUGGUGCCAAGUAACUAUGAGACUUCAGGCUGAAAAAAUUGCCAGUCUUGUACCAACACUAGGGUCUUUCAGCACAGCCUGGCACAGGGAAUAAAAAUUUUUACCUGCUUUCCAGAGCAGCACUGCCUGUUAGACAGCUUUUAUACCAGCUUUUUUUCCUCCUUUGCCUGGGCAGUGUGCUAUAGUGUGUGUCCUUCUCCAAGUCUGCUCUGUGCAUCCUCUGCCCAGGCCAGGGGGACAUCCUCUCCGAGCCGGCUGAGACACAGCUUGGUCCCUACCACCCUCCACGUGCACAUAGCAGAAUAGCUGCUGCCACCAUCUGGUGGGAGAGCAGAGCAGCAUAGCUGCCGACUCCAUCCCCUCUUCAGUUUGCAUUCGUUUUGCUUUCUGAAAAAGGUAACCUCACGUGCCCUUCUGAGAACUCUAUUUUAGAGACCGACUGUCACAUCCACUGACCUUGGUGAAGGAACCAAAGCUACACAACAGAAGUGGCAGGGAAUAAAUCAGGAUGCAACAAAGGAGAUGCACAGCAUGCAUGUAAGAAGUUCUUCCUGCAAAAGUAUCUUGUCCUCCAUGCCUGAAAUCCACCCACCGCAUUAAGUGAAUCACUGCUUUGUCACCCCCAGACACAAUCCACUGUCUCUCCAGCUGGCACUGGCAUGAUUCACAAAUAGCAAAGCCACUACACAGCCAAGGUGUCUUCUUGCUCUUAGCUAACACCUGAGAAAACACUGGCUUGACUGAAGAGCCAGUCCUCAGCAUCUGUUCCACAGUCCAAGGACCUGCAACUUUGUAACAGCCCACAUUCAGUCAGUCUAAAGGCACUGAACAUUGCAGCAACACCUGAUACAAGCACUGUGGUGUUCUGAGUGUCACUGGGCUACUUAUUUGAGCCCGGAAACAAACAGAAGAAAACACUCCUUUACUCAAGAUUCCUGAAAAGUUGGUAUCUUCAACCUAGCUUAAUUAAUGGUUGGUGAAGCCACUACACUGACAAUACAUGGGAGGCACACAGGUCUGUUCUGAAGCAUGUUCAGUUUUAUUUAAGAAUCCUACAUCAGUUGAAUUUUCAUUUUCGCUGCUUUACUGAAUCAGGAAAAUGCAAAGAUUUUUCUGCAAAGAGCUGAUCUGGCAGGUAAAGGUGAUCAGGUUAGCUGUGGCUGCAGAGCCAGGUUCACUGUGGCAACUGGAGGAGUACAGACUGUCCAGAGGGCAAGUAGGUGAUGUUGCGAGACCUUGAGAGCUGGUAAGCAAUAUCUUCAGCUGCCUCCAGCUUGCGUAGCUCAAUUAAGCCAUCACCUGCAGUGGCUAGUGAGUUGGCAAUCAGCUCAGCUGCUUUGGAGUCUCCCUCAGCUGAGAUGACAGCUGCUUUCUUCUGCUGCUCAGCCUGCAAGGGAACAGGUGAGAAGAAAAAUGAGCAGAAAAGAAAAGAGAAGGAAGAUACUACUGUCAAGUUUAAAGUAUAAAUUUCCCCUUCACCACCCCUUACUGUUCUUUCCUCCAGAAGACUUAAGAGAGCUAAAACAGAAGGUGUUUGUAUCUUAAAGCUGUACAUACAUACAUUAUUUUUUUGCCUACUGUGGAGAAGAGGUUUAAAAAUCAACUUGAAAUUGUCUUAUCUUAACCUCCUGAAACAGCAACUCACCUAAGGGCACUCUUGGUGGAUAACUAUCUAAAGAUUUGAGAACUGUGAACCAUAUUAGCAUUGUGAUUCUGAGUGACACCAGGUGAAUGAAACAUUCACCAUGAGAUGGAAUGACAGAGAUAUCAGGAACUGUUUCCAAACAAAAGUUUCUCAGAAGGAUAAAGUACCUUUUCCACAAUGAACCUGGCUCGCUCUGCUUCUUGCUGGGCCACUUGCUUCAUUUCAACUGCUUCAGUGAAUUCCUUGCCAAAGGUCAGAUGGGUCUGCAGGGCAGAAAUCACAGUCCACAACAGCAUUUACAGCAACACUGCUAUCAACAUCACACCUCUAAGGCAGGAGGCAUCUUGCCUUUAUCAGAGAAGAUGGAAAGCCAGUAUCGCUAAGAAAAACACAGUGUAACAGAAACUAAGCCUAGCAAGCUUUCCCUCCUUUUUUAAAAGUCUCAAGGAAGACACCAUGAACACAAUUUCAAUCCAGCAAAUGGGUUAACACAAAGAUCUUGAGAGACAUACCAUGCCCUCCUACCAUUUCUUGCUUAGGGAUUAGAAGCCUGCAGUCUGCCAAGCAACCCUGUUCUCUUCAUGCUCAACUAUGCACUGUUGUGCCCUCCCUGACCUGUUCUGUACAUAUACAAACUAUUGGGAUGUUACAGGGGAAGUGUGAGUUUCCUUAAGUAAUGUAUUCAGAAAAAAGACUCAAAAAAUCACAAAGCCACAUUCCUGCAGACACUUCCUGUGUGUUCAAAGCCAGAUAAAAAUGCUUGUUUCCCUUUUCUCUAGGCAGGAUUUUUGAAGGAAAUCCCAGAAGAGAGAGAUGCAUAUGUAAGUCAGUCUGCAAAGAUUUAAUUUUACAAAGCUUCUAAGGAGGAAGGAGGGGAGUGCUCACUCCCUGGAUAGUCUUAGAAGACACUACGAGGUGAAAGCUGUAUACUUAUUAGGAAAAAAAAGAUGCUAUGUCUCAGGGUACUUGUGGAACAGCAGGCUUCUCUAUAGCAAUCUGCAGACUGAUCUAUCAUCCACAAAAUCAUUUGCUUCUCAUUUUAACUACACAAGCCCUUUAAUAAUGGAGACUGCUGAUAAGCUAGUGCUGUAAUGCUUUCAAGAACUUGCUCAAGGACAUAGGAGGCCAGUGACACGACCAGCUGCUUUGACCUGAACCGUAACCACUGCAUUAUGUGCAAUUGCAGACAGACGUGGUCCACAUACACAAGCUUUCACACCCCUUCUCUGAUCCUCUAUAAUUUUCUUCCCUACUGCUCUUAUUUGCACAGAGAGAAAAACUGAAGGAGAACUCUUACCAAGGAUACAUCAUCCAGAAUGAGGCCAAAAGUUGCUGCUCUCUCUGUGAGGUCUUCACUCACUUGCCUGGAGACCAGUUCUCUUUGAGUGAUCAACUCUCCAGCAUCAAAGCGAGCCUGAGCGAGAAGAAAGCUCUCAGAAUCUCUGCUUGUCACCCAACUCCAUGAAAGUAAAGCCAAGUAGUUAGAAUGACAGGGAAGCAAUUAGCAUGGCUACAGUUUUAACUCUUCUGGAUUGCCUGUUAGAGCCAAGGAGUAGAAAGAGAAGCCUCAUUUUGGAGCUUUACAUUUUCCACAAUUCAGCAGGUCCCAUCAGUGCUAAAACAAAAGAGAGGUGAGGGGUGGAGCCCAGCAGCAUUCAUGCUAUUCUUACCACAACAGACUUGAGGAUUUCAGUUGUGAUGGAGGGCAGGACGCGCUCAUCGUAGUCCUCUCCAAUACUUGUGAAAAUCCGGGGUAACUGCGCAGUCACCGGUCUGAACAGGAUACGCAGUGUGAUGUUCACAUUCUGUAGAUCUGCAGAAAUAGUCACAAAUUUAGCAGCAGACCUCAUGGGCAGGAGAUAUCUUGAUGUUGUCCUCUCCAGAGGAAAGCAAAAUAAGACAAAAUAAACAUUCAGACUUCUGAGAAAGGAAAGGUUUUUAGUAUUUCUUUCACCAAGGACUGCUUUUCACCUAGGGAUCCAAAUGCUCCUUACAGAUUAAAUUUAAGCUUCAGUUUGUCUGUAAUGCAGGGAAUUACUGACCCUACUGCAAACAAAGAAAUUUCUUAUUUAAGGGACAAAUAUCAAACUAUUCCUGACUGCUAAACUCUGCACACAUUGAAUCUCCACGUUCAGAAAAGAAAGCCCUCAUGCCUAUAGUACUUUUCAGCAGGUUAACGAUCAUAAAAGUCUUGAUUGUGGGAAAGCUUCUUCUCAUGCCUCUGUUCACCCAGCUGCAAAGCAGCAAAAGAGUGAGACACACACACAGCACAUCAGACUGCCCAGAUCUUGUAGAGCUGCCCAGUCCAAAACUCACCUUUGCUGCCAGUGAUGACAGGUAUGUUACGUGGGCGAGAACGGCAGUCAAAAAUGAUUGGUUUCUGUACCCAGGGGAUGAGGAAGUGAGUGCCUUCUCCUACCACUGUGUCCUGGACCCCACGGAAUCGAUCAAAGAUAACAGCUCUGUGUCCUGCAUCAACAUUGUAUAGAGCAGAAUUGACAACUCCACCUGCAACAGCCAGCCCCAGGCCGAACUUCCCAAUGCUUUCAAACACUUUGGCAGCCAUUUCACACGUGCAGUUCUAGCCCCUUUAAGAAGUACCUCCUCCACAUGAAUCCACGGCCGCCCACCC